UACGGAGGGUGCAAGCGUUAUCCGGAUUUACUGGGUUUAAAGGGUGCGUAGGUGGGCGAGAAAGUCAGUGGUGAAAUCUCCGGGCUUAACCCGGAAACUGCCAUUGAUACUAUUUGUCCUGAAUACUUUGGAGGUAAGCGGAAUAUGUCAUGUAGCGGUGAAAUGCUUAGAUAUGACAUAGAACACCAAUUGCGCAGGCAGCUUACUACACAGUAAUUGACACUGAGGCACGAAAGCGUGGGGAUCAAACAGG
RNAcentral lists this ribosomal RNA (253 nucleotides) under uncultured bacterium. Its description in RNAcentral is "partial 16S ribosomal RNA". It matches the Rfam family "Bacterial small subunit ribosomal RNA", at positions 524 to 776 of the family's 1533-position model. The record is from RNAcentral.